Pan troglodytes (chimpanzee) is the source of this 4119-nucleotide long non-coding RNA. RefSeq lists it as uncharacterized. The record is from RefSeq and is a predicted model, not a curated record. Lineage: Eukaryota; Metazoa; Chordata; Mammalia; Primates; Hominidae. The transcript is spliced from 16 exons.
GGUCCUGGUAUCCAGAGGGAAUUCCAAUAAAUAGAUGACAUAGUAAAAGUUCCACAAAACCUAAUUGUUGGACUGCUGCCUAAUUAUCUGACGCUCCUCCUGCCAAAAGACCAGCAAGCAAAACAAAGUUACUAUAUUAGCAAGAAUAAUAGAACUUGAUUAUCAUGAAGAGCUAGGAAUGCUACUACCUGAUUGGGUUAAGAAGAAUUAUGUCUAAACUUUAAGAUAGUCCUUGGGGAAUCUCCUGGUGUUACUGUCAUGUGCGUCUGUGUGAAGAGAGUCCACCAAACAGGCUUUGUGUGAGCAACAAGUCUGUUUAUUUCACCUGGGCGCAGCAUUCACCAGGGCUUAGAAGACCCUGUGGCACCUGAAAGUGAAUGUGCAAUUGGAUUGGAGUUAUGCUGCAACAAUUAGCUGCUCAAUUGUGUGUUUAUUACAUAUACCAAGAUCACUUAAAUAACACUACAGGUCUUCCUCAGUGGUGAUUUUUAUUCUGAUGGAGAAGACAUGCCUGAAGUGUAUUGAGCAGAAGAGUGACAAGAUCUGACUAACCUGCUGCAGAACUAAACACCAAAAAAGCUUGAGUUUCUACUAAAUGGCUCUUGUGUUUCGCUAGAGGUGGUUUCAGUUCAGCAACAAGGUGACCUCACAGCAGGAUAUUGAAACAGGAAGGAGGAGGAGGAAAAGGAAGAGAAGGAGGAGAAAAAGGAGGAAGAGAAGGAGGAGGAAGGAAAAGGGCUUUGUUGCUGCCCAGUCUUUUGAAAGAUAUUUGAAAAUUCAGGAUACAUGUUUACAGAAGAGACAAACUUGACUUCAUUAUCUAGAGCCAGAACACAUAGUAUCUGUAUAUCCACGGUGAUUGGGACUAAUGCCAAGAUUUGAAAUAAUACCUCAGACAGUUCAGCUUCAGAGAGAGAAUAGCUUUUGAAAAAUCUAAAAUCUACCUUAGGAAGGUACAUUUCUCUAAGCAAAGAGAAAGAUCCGCGUACGACCUCUGGUCCUCAGACCAAGCAGCCCAAGGAACAUCUCACCAAUUUUAAAUCCGAUUUCUGCAUCCUCUCAGUCAUGAUGAUAAAGGAUUUACUACUUCAGUCAUGUCACCACUCUUGAAUAUCAUUCCCAUGGCAUGGUACAGUAGGAACUGGAACACAUACUUUGAGAAAUGACUGCUGGGAAGAAUUGGAAAGGGACUGGAAGCAAUGAUGGCUAAAGAAUCUCGAGAAGGAAGACAGACUAUACAUAUUUUUUCUAGGAAAUUAAAAGGGAAGAUAAUUUCAUAAUUAUUGCCAAUGUUGUAAAUAGUAAUCUCCAUCUCUCCAUCAGAUAGAGAAGAAAAUGGGAUUAAAAUGUAGUAAGAGAAAUUUAGAUGGUUUAUAACAGUUUGAAAGGAAUCAUGAGUUAAAUUUCAUAGUGUAGAGGCAGGAGGCUAAGAGAGGAUAAAGAUACACCGGUAAUGUUUACAAAUUCUGUACAUUAUCCACUCCUUACCUCUCAAAAGCCUCUUUGCUAAAAGUAGGUGUCAUUAUGUAUGCAUAUAAGGGAAGCUAUGCCAUGAAAUGUAAUCCUUAGGAUGCUCAUAGUCUUAAGUACUUUUAAUAAUUGACUCACUUGAAGUAUUUAUGUAGACCUACUUACAAGAAAAAAUAUGAAAAUAAUGUAAAUAAAAAUGUUACACACUUUAAAUUCUUACUUUUUAUAUUGCCCUUGAUUGAAAUCAAAUAAUUAUUCAAGAAUAAGAAAGCAUUAUUAUGAGUUAAAUUUUUGAGAUGCAAAAUUAUAUGUUAUGCCCAUUUUCUUUACCUGUUUUGUGUGAAAGAUAAUAUGAUUGAAUGUAUGCUUUGUUUGUGCCCAAGUACACGUCUGAACCACAGCCUAUUCUUUAUAUCCUAUUGAGAGAAUUGUGGCUCCUUUUUUCUUUUACGUUACUUAAUAUUUGGCUGUAGCUGUUCUUUGGCAGUAGGUAGGGUAUUUGAUAACUCUGCUGUGCUGCAUAAACAUUUUUACUUCAAAGUGAUUGCUUGUCCAUGUCUCACUGGAAUUAUUUCAAGCCAGAUGUCUAAUUCUGUCCAACAUCUUUAAUGUUUUCAAAAUCAUCUUGGGUGUUGUUAAUGGAGUAUCAUUAGGUACAAUUUGAAACAUUUCAGUGGGCAGUACAUGGAUUCAGAAUAUUUGUGCAAUAUGUGCUCUUGCUUCUGAAGUCUUUGGGGGAUUUUUCUUUUAUAUACCCUUCUCCUAACACUUUAUUUUCUUUACUAGUUGACUUAGUUAUAUAGUUAUAGUAAACAUAAUUUUUCCAUUUGGCCAAUAUUUAUUAAAACUAUAGUAGGAUCCAAACAUUCCAAAAGAGCACUGGGAUAAGAAAGAGGUGGUGCCUGUACUAUACCUACAGCUAGGAGAAAACAGGACACAUAGAAAUAAACUCAAGUACAAAUGUGGGCAGUCAUAAUAGCCAAGAAAGCCCAGAUCUAGGAGUUCUUAAUAUCAUUGGGUGAAGAAAGGAACAUUUUGAUGUUCCUCAGAAGCACAAAGAAAAUAACCCCAAGAAAGAGGAAUGGCUUAAGAAAAAGUAUAUAAGGAUAUGAUUUGCUCCAAAAGCAGAAAGCACUACAUCAACUGAAAGAAGUUUUGAAGAGAGAAAUGUGAAUUAUGCUGAGAUAGCUGGCUUUAUUCUUCAGAUCAAAGGAAGUAUUAAAAAUUUAAAACAGGGUAUAGCAUGGUCAGAUUUGUAUUUAAUAAAAAUAUAUUUGAAGGUCACAUGUUUGACACACUGUAUGGAAGAUACAUUUAAGUAGUCCUAUUGGUGAAGAACUGCUUGAGUCGCUACACCUGUGGCAUCGAACUAGAUUAGAAAUGAAGAGAAAUUAUUCAAGGCUAGAAUAUUCAGAAACUAUCAGUGCACCUAACACAUACAAUAAAGGCUCAAUAAAUGCCUAAUGAUGAAAAACAAAAAUUAAUGCACAAAUUGGGUUUCAAAUGUUACAUUGCUAGAAUGUUUAAAAUUAUGGAGUCAUUUUAUGUUUGUGUGUAUGUGUGUAUGUGUGUGUGUGUGUAUAUAUAUAUACAUAUAUAUCUUUUUAUCCUUAUUGAAGGCAGAGAUUUCAAACUACGUAUGAAGUAUUCAUAUCUGUAGAUUUAUAGCAGAUUGGUGUGUUUUCUGUUUUAGAUUGCCUGUUUUGUAGUAGAGAGAUGCUUCUCAGGACGUCGUGGGAUCACACUGUUCAGACUGAUUUCCAACAGGCACAGCGUGCUCCAUGGAGCCAUAAAAUGGCAGAAUAUUUUGUCCAGGAUUCCUCUGCAGUGAGAUGAUUCCCUCCACCUGAUCUGUAUGCCACCUGACCCUCACCUUGUAUCAUUCUGUGAGAAAAAAGGAACACCAAAGAUGAUUUGUUGGUUUUCCAGUGCAAGAGUGAUCCCUCCUUCAUUUUUACCAAAAAGAGAUUUCCUCCAUUUCUGCACUUUUUGCCCUCUGGAAUUUCAUUUGCAAGGGCAGAUAAGGGGAAAAGAAUGUAAUAAGAGAUGAGGAAAAAAAUAAGCCCUUGCUGAAUGAUUGAUAUGAAUGAAGGAACUGAUGGAAUAAAUAACAAAAAUAAGAAGAUCCAGGACUACUCUCAGUCUCUGAAGCAGGUGGGAGCCCUGGCGGUAGCUAUGGAUCCAGUUCAAAGGAAUAUGAAAGGCACUGCUUUCCCAUCAAAAAGAAAUAUUCAUCCACAUAUUGAAAUUUCUUCCAUCACUUUACAUCAAGAAGAUUGAAAGCCCAAGUAAAUGACAUGACAAUGAAAAUGGAAAUCUGUAGAGACGGGGUUUCACUGUGUUACCCAGGAUGGUCUUGAUCUCCUGACCUCGCGAUCCGCCUGCCUCAGCCUCCCAAAGUGCUGGGAUUACAGGCAUGAGCCAUGGCACCCGGCAGAGGAAGAAGAAAGGCAAUACUUGCAACCAAUGAUAAAGAGGUAUUCUGACUUUCAUCUGCCUUUGUGUUAAGCGUGAGAGAGCCAGACAGAAUUGCAGCAGGAACCAGAAGGAGCAAAGAAAAAGAUUACUGUUUCUUUUAUAAAAUGGUUUUUAUCCUACUGGUGUCUCUUUAAAAAUAAAAAUCAACAAAUAAAUGUCCAUUUAAAUUGA